UUUGACAGUUUAUACAUUUAAAUAGACUAAAGAAACUAUAAUAUCAAAUUCUAAAGUUCAGAACUGAAAACUAUAUUAUCUAAAAAACUUGGGGAGCUUUCCUUCAUAAAUAGUAACAAAAAACAAAUUAAUUUGGUGUCUCUCAGUCUCUACGGCACACCGCUUACUGCAAACCGUUCUCAAAUUUUCCUUUCAAGGUAUUUGAGCCUUCUCUUUCUUCUUUUGAAUUUAAUUCUGAAUUCGCAAUAAUUUUCUAUUUUAAAUUUUACGAUAGAUCUAUCUGCUCUUGCGCCAUAGUUUUGUGACCUGAUGUGUAGAUCGAUUUUAUAAUUUAUUCCUAUUGUUGAAAGAAAAUUCUAGGGGAGUGUUGAUGAUCUUUCAUUGAUAUUGGAUCUGUUUAAUCAUGUAUCAACUCUCUCAAGAAGUAUUUUGUUACAUUCCAGAAUUCUAUGCUCAAGUCUCCUUGCGAUCUGUUGGCUUCCCCCUAAAUCUUGUGUUUUGGUCCUGCAUAUAAUUUGUUGUUAAGAGAGUUCCCCGUUUUGAUAAUUAUUUGGCUUAUAUUUAUUGGAUUGAGAAUUUAUGUGAUUCACUGUCUGAGUUUCUUUGUUUUUAGACGAAUCGGAUAAAUUCUUCUGUGGAGGUUUCUAAAUGUUGUUUAUUAUAUCCUAAUUCCAAUGAUUUUGGCUCUGUAUCUGUCAUUUUUGUGGUUCGAUUUGCCAUUUUUGUCAAUAAUUUUAUAUGUUAGUGAUAAAAAAUUUUGUACUAUUUAAUUUUAUUUUUAGAAUAUAACGAGAUAAAUUUUGAUAGGGUCUUGUUUCUUGUUCUAACUUUAGAGAUGCAGAUUUUCGUGAAAACCUUGACUGGCAAGACUAUCACCCUCGAAGUGGAAAGCUCGAUACCAUUGACAACAUAAGAAUAAGGAGGGUAUUCCACCCGACCAACAGAGGCUCAUCUUCGUUGGUAAGCAACUUGAGGAUGGCCGUACCUUCGCAGACUACAACAUCCAGAAAGAGUCUACUCUGCACUUGGUACUUAGGUUGAGGGGAUGGAUUCAAAUUUUUGUCAAGGCUUUGACCGGAAAGACUAUCACUUUGGAAGUGGAGAGUUCUGACACCAUUGACAAUGUGAAGGCUAAGAUUCAGGACAAAGAGGGUAUUCCACCAGACCAGCAGCGAUUGAUCUUUGCUGGGAAAUAGCUGGAGGAUGGAAGGACCCUGGCCGACUACAACAUCCAAAUGGAGUCUACCCUCCAUCUUGUCCUCCGUGGUGGUUUUUGAUUUGCAGGUGGUGAUGUGUGGUCUUUGGUGUCGUCUCUACAGUGUCUGUUCCGUGGUUGUUUUAGCCAUUUUUGAAUGGCUUAUUUCAAACUUUAAUAUCUGAUGUUCUUGUUGCUUGUCGUGCCAGUUAUGUUUGUUUUUAAGCAUGGAAC
Molecule: long non-coding RNA, 1429 nt
Filed under: Olea europaea subsp. europaea
Lineage: Eukaryota; Viridiplantae; Streptophyta; Magnoliopsida; Lamiales; Oleaceae
Source: RNAcentral